Molecule: ribosomal RNA, 244 nt
Filed under: uncultured bacterium
Lineage: Bacteria
Description: partial 16S ribosomal RNA
Rfam family: Bacterial small subunit ribosomal RNA
Source: RNAcentral
GCUAGCGUUGUUCGGAAUCACUGGGCGUAAAGCGCACGCAGGCGGAUCGUUAAGUCAGGGGUGAAAUGCCGAGGCUCAACCUCGGAACUGCCUUUGAUACUGGCGAUCUUAGAGUCCGGGAGAGGUGAGUGGAACUCCGAGUGUAGAGGUGAAAUUCGUAGAUAUUCGGAAGAACACCAGUGGCGAAGGCGGCUCACUGGCCCGGUACUGACGCUCAGGUGCGAAAGCGUGGGGAGCAAACAGG